UAAGGAAUAUUGGUCAAUGGUGGGAACACUGAACCAGCCAUUCCGCGUGAAGGAUGAAUGCCCUCUGGGUUGUAAACUUCUUUAGUCUGGGACGAAAAAGCUUCAUUUAUGAAGAACUGACGGUACCAGAAGAAUAAGCACCGGCUAACUCCGUGCCAGCAGCCGCGGUAAUACGGAGGGUGCAAGCGUUAUCCGGAAUCACUGGGUUUAAAGGGUGCGUAGGCGGCGUUAUAAGUCAGGAGUGAAAUUCCACGGCUCAACUGUAGGAACUGCUUUUGAUACUGUAAUGCUUGAACCAAGAUGAGGUAGGCGGAAUGUGACAUGUAGCGGUGAAAUGCAUAGAUAUGUCAUAGAACACCAAUUGCGAAGGCAGCUUACUAGACUUGAGUUGACGCUGAGGCACGAAAGCGUGGGGAGCAAACAGG
Molecule: ribosomal RNA, 425 nt
Filed under: uncultured bacterium
Lineage: Bacteria
Description: bacterial SSU rRNA
Rfam family: Bacterial small subunit ribosomal RNA
Source: RNAcentral